Acanthosepion pharaonis is the source of this 108-nucleotide non-coding RNA. The record is from the annotation of a GenBank genome assembly. NCBI's taxonomy places the organism in Eukaryota, Metazoa, Mollusca, Cephalopoda, Sepiida, Sepiidae.
GGCUAUAAAACGUCGAAACACCGGUUCCCCGCCGAUCACGGAAGUUAAGCAACAUCGAGCCUGGUCAGUACCUAGAUGGCUCAUCGUUUGUGAAUACCAAAAACUGUA